AUACAACUUUCAGCAACGGAUCUCUGCUCUCGCAUCGAUGAAGAACGCAGCGAAAUGCGAUAAGUAAUGUGAAUUGCAGAAUUCAGUGAAUCAUCGAAUCUUUGAACGCAUCUUGCGCUCCUUGGUAUUCCGAGGAGCAUGCCUGUUUGAGUGUCAUUAAAUUCUCAACUCUCCUAUACUUUGUUGUAAAGGAGAGCUUGGAUUGUGGA
This 209-nucleotide ribosomal RNA is filed under the name Agaricus pocillator. RNAcentral describes it as "5.8S ribosomal RNA". The stretch from base 5 to 156 matches the Rfam family "5.8S ribosomal RNA". Rfam says of the family: 5.8S ribosomal RNA (5.8S rRNA) is a component of the large subunit of the eukaryotic ribosome. It is transcribed by RNA polymerase I as part of the 45S precursor that also contains 18S and 28S rRNA. The record is from RNAcentral. Lineage: Eukaryota; Fungi; Basidiomycota; Agaricomycetes; Agaricales; Agaricaceae.